UGAUCCUGGCUCAGGAUGAACGCUGGCGGCGUGGAUAAGGCAUGCAAGUCGAACGCUCCGCAGCAAUGCGGAGAGUGGCAAACGGGUUAGUAACACGUAGGAACGUACCGACGAGAUGGGGAUAACUCCGCGAAAGCGGGGCUAAUACCCGAUGGUCCCCGAGAGUAAUCAAGGGGUAAAGCAGCAAUGCACUCGUUGAGCGGCCUGCGUACUAUCAGCUUGUUGGUAGGGUAAUGGCCUACCAAGGCUAUGACGGUUAGGGGGUGUGAGAGCACGGCCCCCAACAUCGGAACUGAGAUACUGUCCGGACUCCUACGGGAGGCUGCAGUCAAGAACCUUCGACAAUGCGCGAAAGCGUGAUCGAGCGACGCCGCGUGACCGAAGACGCCCUUCGGGGUGUAAAGGUCUUUUCUAUGGGAACAAUUUUUGAGCGUACUAUAGGAAUAAGGGGCUGCUAAACUCGUGCCAGCAGCCGCGGUAAGACGAGUGCCCCAAGCGUUAUCCGAAUUUACUGGGCGUAAAGGGUCCGUAGGGGGUUUUGUUAGUCCCAGGUUAAAUUUCAAGGCUCAACUUUGAAGCUGCCUGGGAAACGGCAAAACUAGAGUGUGUGAGAGGCUGAAGGAACGCACGGUGUAGGGGUGAAAUCCGUUGAUAUCGUGCGGAACACCAAAGGCGAAGGCAAUCAGCUGGCGCAUCACUGACCCUGAGGGACGAAAGCGUGGGGAGCAAAAAGGAUUAGAUACCCUUGUAGUCCACGCCCUAAACGUUGGAUGCUAGCUGUAUAAAGUAUCGACCCUUUAUGUGGCGAAGCUAACGCGUUAAGCAUCCCGCCUGGGAAGUACGAUCGCAAGAUUAAAACUCAAAGGAAUAGACGGGAGCUCGCACAAGCGGUGGAGCAUGUGGUUUAAUUCGACAGUAAACGAGGAACCUUACCAGGGCUAGACUGCCAGAUGAAACCCCGCAGAAACGUGGGGCUACCCACAAGGACAUCUGGUUCAGGUGUUGCACGGUUGUCGUCAGCUCGUGUCGUGAGAUGUCCCCUUAAUUGGGUCAACGAGCGCAACCCCUAUUAGAUGUUAUAAGUGUCAUCUAAGACUGCCUCGGGAUACGGGGAGGAAGGCGGGGAUGACGUCAAAUCAGCGUGAUCCUUUGAUGCCCUGGGCUACACACAUGCUACAAUGGCCGGUACAAUGGGUUGCCAAGCCGUAAGGCGGAGCCAAUCCCAUCAAAACCGGUCUCAGUUCGGAUUGAGGGCUGAAACUCGCCCUCAUGAAGUAGGAAUCGCUAGUAAUCGCGGAUCAGCUAUGCCGCGGUGAAUACGUUCCCGAGCUUUGUACUCACCGCCCGUCAAGCCAGGGGAGCCGGUAGUUCUGGAAACGCCACUUCGGUGGUGUUAAAGAAAGAUCGGUAACAAGGGCUAAGUCGUAACAAGGCAUCCGUAGCGGAAGCUGUGGAUGGAUCACCUCCUUUCUAGA
This 1475-nucleotide ribosomal RNA is filed under the name Candidatus Portnoybacteria bacterium CG_4_9_14_3_um_filter_44_9. RNAcentral's name for it is "bacterial SSU rRNA". It matches the Rfam family "Bacterial small subunit ribosomal RNA". Lineage: Bacteria; Candidatus Portnoyibacteriota. The record is from RNAcentral.